Non-coding RNA from Coffea arabica (coffee), 1403 nucleotides. The record is from RefSeq and is a predicted model, not a curated record. NCBI's taxonomy places the organism in Eukaryota, Viridiplantae, Streptophyta, Magnoliopsida, Gentianales, Rubiaceae.
CUUGCUUCUUAAUUUCCCAUCUCUCCGCAUAAGUAAAAUUAGUUGCAUUGCAGGUUCAGAGUUGGAGCUCGACAUUCUCUCUGGAUCCGUCCCUCAAAACCAAAAAGAAAAACAGAGCAAACCAUAUAGUAACCGCACCCCUUUCUCCCUUAUCUGAUCGUAAAUAAUGGCUGAGAAUGGAAAUGAGAACGUUAUUCGGUAUGAAGAAGGAAUGUCGUGUCUUCUUCCCGCAAAUGCUUUUGACCAGCAACAAUCAUGCUUGCAAGAGAAGUUGAGAUAUCAAAAGCACCACCAAUCCGAGCGGCACUACUCAAAAUCACCAGCAGCGGAUAAUUCGCAUUGGAAGUCCGGCCAGCUGGGAAACCAAAGAACCAGAAAUGGGGGGUCGUCGAACACGAAAUGGGCAAUUGGUGGUCCUGGAAUGCAAGCCCUGUUCUUGGAUUCUGGGCAACGAUCCUGCGGAACAGGAGUGUUUCUCCCUCGAAGAGCAGGAACCCACUUUCCAUCAUCCAAUAGGCCAGGUGGUUGAUCAUUCGCACCAGCUAUCACUCCACCAUGCAAUAAUUCUUGUUUCUAUCCUGCCCUCCUGUUCUCCUUCCGUCCCGCGUCGUUCAGGUCCUCAACCUUAAUGUCCACGAACUUGGCUUCCAGUCCAGGCCCCAACAACAAGAGCGUACUGGCAAGCAAUCCAAUGCUGGUGGUAAGAAAGAGAACAUUAAUGCAGCAGCCGGAGUGGGAAGCGGAGGCGGCCAGUGUUGUUCGCCGGAGAUUUUUCUCCCGAAGGAAUGGACUUACUAGCUUGGCUGGCUUUAUACCUCGUACAGAACACUGACCAGAACCUGCAACUCGUUUCAGAUUGAUUGCUGCUGACCACGUGCCUUGCGGUGAAUUAAAAUAUAGUUUAAAUAAUACCAGCAGCAGCCAAAAGAAAUAAAUUAUUUAGAAAUGCUGAAUUGCAUAGGUUUUCAUUCUUUUUGCACGAAAGAAGUAGAUGGUACAUAAAUUAUUUAGUUCUUGAUUUUUAUUUUUUUUGAGGAAAGAUUAGUUAUUGACUCAAUUCACAAUAGUCUGUAAUUAAUUUACCGUUAUGAAUUCCAUUCGAUCGAUUGUAUCCGUUUUCGGAAUAAGGUUGAUGUAUGUUACAGAUGCGCCCGAACAAGAGACGAACUCCUCUGCCAUUCAAGACUUCUAGCAAUAAAGUCCAUCACCGUGCAUGGAUCAUUGGAUGGACUCGACUCACCUGGGCCUGGGGGUAUGAUGCAUGAGAGCAAUGAUACUGUCGUUGCCCAUGCCCAUUUGAGUAUUGUAUGAUUUUUUUUCCCCAUAUUUGUUUUCUUUUUAUUUCAUUUUCUUUCUCUUCACCCUCUACCUUUACAAUACUCUUGCACAAUCUGGAGAAUAGA